RNAcentral lists this small nuclear RNA (107 nucleotides) under Pan paniscus (pygmy chimpanzee). The record is from RNAcentral. Lineage: Eukaryota; Metazoa; Chordata; Mammalia; Primates; Hominidae.
AUGCUUGCUUCAGCAGCACACAUACUAAAAUUGGAACAAUACAGAGGAGAUUAGCAUGGGCCCUGCGCAAGGAUGACACGCAAAUUUGUGAAGGAUUCCAUAUUUCC